UACAGAGGGUGCAAGCGUUAAUCGGAAUUACUGGGCGUAAAGCGCGCGUAGGUGGAUAAAUGUGUUGGCUGUGAAAUACCCGAGCUCAACUUGGGAUGGUCAGUCAAAACUGUUUGUCUAGAGUACAGUAGAGGAAAGUAGAAUUUCAGGUGUAGCGGUGAAAUGCGUAGAUAUCUGAAGGAAUACCAGUGGCGAAGGCGACUUUCUGGACUGAUACUGACACUGAGGCGCGAAAGCGUGGGGAGCAAAC
This 250-nucleotide ribosomal RNA is filed under the name uncultured bacterium. RNAcentral describes it as "partial 16S ribosomal RNA". It matches the Rfam family "Bacterial small subunit ribosomal RNA", at positions 524 to 773 of the family's 1533-position model. The record is from RNAcentral.